Molecule: ribosomal RNA, 456 nt
Filed under: uncultured bacterium
Lineage: Bacteria
Description: SSU rRNA
Rfam family: Bacterial small subunit ribosomal RNA
Source: RNAcentral
AGGAUGAACGCUGGCGGUGUGCCUAACACAUGCAAGUCGAACGAUAGCCUUUCGGGGCUAGAGUGGCGGACGGGUGAGUAACACGUUAAUACCUGCCCUUUAGUGGGGAAUAACUCGGCGAAAGUCGGGCUAAUACCGCAUACGAUCCUUCGGGAUGAAAGCAUUUAUGCGCUAAAGGAGGGGUUUGCGUCUGAUUAGCUAGUUGGUAGGGUAAUGGCCUACCAAGGCAAUGAUCAGUAGCUGGUUCGAGAGGAUGACCAGCCACACUGGGACUGAGAUACGGCCCAGACUCCUACGGGAGGCAGCAGUGAGGAAUCUUCCGCAAUGGACGAAAGUCUGACGGAGCAACACCGCGUGCAGGAUGACGGCCUUCGGGUUGUAAACUGUCUUUUAUUUGGGAAGAUUAUGACGGUACCAAAUGAAUAAGGACCGGACUAACUACGUGCCAGCAGCCGC